GACGAACGCUGGCGGCGUGCUUAACACAUGCAAGUCGAACGGAAAGGCCCUGCUUUUGUGGGGUGCUCGAGUGGCGAACGGGUGAGUAACACGUGAGUAACCUGCCCUUGACUUUGGGAUAACUUCAGGAAACUGGGGCUAAUACCGGAUAGGAGCUCCUGCUGCAUGGUGGGGGUUGGAAAGUUUCGGCGGUUGGGGAUGGACUCGCGGCUUAUCAGCUUGUUGGUGGGGUAGUGGCUUACCAAGGCUUUGACGGGUAGCCGGCCUGAGAGGGUGACCGGCCCCAUUGGGACGGGGGUACGGCCCAGACCCCUACGGGGGGGAGGGGGGGGGAAUAUGGCAAAAGGGGCGGAAGCCUGAUGCAGCAACGCCGGGUGGGGGAUGACGGCCUUCGGGUUGUAAACCGCUUUCGCCUGUGACGAAGCGGGAGGGACGGUAAUGGGUAAAGAAGCACCGGCAAACUCCGU
RNAcentral lists this ribosomal RNA (467 nucleotides) under uncultured bacterium. RNAcentral's name for it is "partial 16S ribosomal RNA". It matches the Rfam family "Bacterial small subunit ribosomal RNA", at positions 28 to 506 of the family's 1533-position model. The record is from RNAcentral.